Molecule: ribosomal RNA, 475 nt
Filed under: uncultured organism
Description: partial 16S ribosomal RNA
Rfam family: Bacterial small subunit ribosomal RNA
Source: RNAcentral
CACUCCUAUGGGAGGCAGCAGUGGGGAAUUUUGGACAAUGGGCGAAAGCCUGAUCCAGCAAUGCCGCGUGAGUGAAGAAGGCCUUCGGGUUGUAAAGCUCUUUUGUCAGGGAAGAAACGGUGAGAGCUAAUAUCUUUUGCUAAUGACGGUACCUGAAGAAUAAGCACCGGCUAACUACGUGCCAGCAGCCGCGGUAAUACGUAGGGUGCAAGCGUUAAUCGGAAUUACUGGGCGUAAAGCGUGCGCAGGCGGUUUUGUAAGUCUGAUGUGAAAUCCCCGGGCUCAACCUGGGAAUUGCAUUGGAGACUGCAAGGCUAGAAUCUGGCAGAGGGGGGUAGAAUUCCACGUGUAGCAGUGAAAUGCGUAGAUAUGUGGAGGAACACCGAUGGCGAAGGCAGCCCCCUGGGUCAAGAUUGACGCUCAUGCACGAAAGCGUGGGGAGCAAACAGGAUUAGAUACCCCUGUAGUCCCAUGA